CAUGGAAGCAAAUUUGUCCUUUUAUGGGAUAAUAAGUUUCCUUAGUUUCAUGUUUCAAAAGCUUCAUUUACGUUUCAACGCAAUACAAUUGCAUGAAAAGAGGAAUGUGUUUCCAAUAGAAUUAAAAUCCUUAAAAGUGUCUUUAUAACUGGUGUUUAUGCUGUAAACAGAGGGAAGGAUGGUUUUAUUUGGCCUCUGAUACACUUACGGAGAAAUAGUUGCCUCCAGAACCCCGCGUAUAGUUUGCAUACUAAUCAUUUUUGUAAUUGAUCUUUUCAGCUUUUUUCAUGCACUGUGGAAGGUUGUCAGAUGCCUCUUUGAAGUUAACUAAUGAUCGUGCGAGCAAAGAGUCUGCAGUGGGAGCCAGGUCUCUGGCGUUGUAGCAGCACAGCUUCCACAUGCUGGCGCUCUUCCGUUACCUUGUGGGAUUUUUUCAGAUGGAGGAGAAGCAAGAGAUGGGCUGAAAUCUCCCUGUGUGAAAGUGAGGCUGUGACCCCAACCUGGUGCCUCCUGUCUACUUGCCCUGGGCUGCAAAAAGAAGAAUCAUCCCUGGUGAGUCUGGGUCAUCUUUAUGCCCUGCUUUCAUUUCUUCAUUGGAAAUGUCAAGUGAAAUGGUGUGGGUUUUUUGGAAGUCUGGUUUUCUUGGCUCAGUGAGAUAAAAGUUAAAUCCAUUCAAAUUCAAUUCAGCCUGAACUGAAGGGUUUUUCUUUUUUUACUUUACUUUUCAUUCAGUUGCCAAAUUGAAAAUAAAUGAUUCACGCAGCACUACCUGACA
This 775-nucleotide long non-coding RNA is filed under the name Anas platyrhynchos platyrhynchos (common mallard). Its description in RNAcentral is "lncRNA (ENSAPLG00000027445.1)". Lineage: Eukaryota; Metazoa; Chordata; Aves; Anseriformes; Anatidae. The record is from RNAcentral.